Molecule: transfer RNA, 76 nt
Filed under: Gracilaria edulis
Lineage: Eukaryota; Rhodophyta; Florideophyceae; Gracilariales; Gracilariaceae
Description: tRNA-Gly
Rfam family: tRNA
About the family: Transfer RNA (tRNA) molecules are approximately 80 nucleotides in length. Their secondary structure includes four short double-helical elements and three loops (D, anti-codon, and T loops).
Source: RNAcentral
AGCGGGUAUAGAUAAAUUGGUAACAUCAUUAGUUUUCCAAACUGAAUUUUACGGGUUCAAAUCCCGUUACCCGUUU